CCCUUAGAUGUCCUGGGCCGCACGCGCGUUACACUGAUGCAUUCAACGAGCUUAUAACCUUGGCCGAGAGGCCUGGGCAAUCUUGUUAACGUGCAUCGUGAUAGGGAUAGAUUAUUGAAAUUAUUAAUCUUGAACGAGGAAUUCCUAGUAAACGCAGAUCAUCAAUCUGCAUUGAUUACGUCCCUGCCCUUUGUACACACCGCCCGUCGCUCCUACCGAUUGGAUGAUCCGGUGAAUUCUCAGGAUCGUUGUCUUGGUGCUGUUUCAGCAUCCAGGAUAUGCGAGAAUUUGUGUAAACCUUAUCAUCUAGAGGAAGGAGAAGUCGUAACA
RNAcentral lists this ribosomal RNA (330 nucleotides) under uncultured eukaryote. Its description in RNAcentral is "partial 18S ribosomal RNA". It matches the Rfam family "Eukaryotic small subunit ribosomal RNA", at positions 1470 to 1796 of the family's 1831-position model. The record is from RNAcentral.